Molecule: transfer RNA, 71 nt
Filed under: Drosera indica
Lineage: Eukaryota; Viridiplantae; Streptophyta; Magnoliopsida; Caryophyllales; Droseraceae
Description: tRNA-Gly
Rfam family: tRNA
About the family: Transfer RNA (tRNA) molecules are approximately 80 nucleotides in length. Their secondary structure includes four short double-helical elements and three loops (D, anti-codon, and T loops).
Source: RNAcentral
UAGAAUAAAGUUUAGUGGUAAAACCCUAGGCUUACAAGCUGACGAUGCGGGUUCGAUUCGCGCUACUCGCU